This 253-nucleotide ribosomal RNA is filed under the name uncultured bacterium. Its description in RNAcentral is "partial 16S ribosomal RNA". It matches the Rfam family "Bacterial small subunit ribosomal RNA", at positions 524 to 776 of the family's 1533-position model. The record is from RNAcentral.
UACGUAGGGUGCGAGCGUUGUCCGGAAUUACUGGGCGUAAAGAGCUCGUAGGUGGUUUGUCGCGUUGUUCGUGAAAUUCCCUGGCUUAACUGGGGGCGUGCGGGCGAUACGGGCAGACUGGAGUACUGCAGGGGAGACUGGAAUUCCUGGUGUAGCGGUGGGGUGCGCAGAUAUCAGGAGGAACACCGGUGGCGAAGGCGGGUCUCUGGGCAGUAACUGACGCUGAGGAGCGAAAGCGUGGGGAGCGAACAGG